UUGAUUCGCACAAUUGGUCA
Molecule: small nuclear RNA, 20 nt
Filed under: Arabidopsis thaliana (thale cress)
Lineage: Eukaryota; Viridiplantae; Streptophyta; Magnoliopsida; Brassicales; Brassicaceae
Description: snRNA_06297
Source: RNAcentral